RNAcentral lists this ribosomal RNA (502 nucleotides) under uncultured bacterium. RNAcentral's name for it is "partial 16S ribosomal RNA". It matches the Rfam family "Bacterial small subunit ribosomal RNA", at positions 29 to 523 of the family's 1533-position model. The record is from RNAcentral.
AUUGAACGCUGGCGGCAUGCUUUACACAUGCAAGUCGAACGGCAGCACGGGUGCUUGCACCUGGUGGCGAGUGGCGAACGGGUGAGUAAUGUAUCGGAACGUACCCGGCAAGGGGGGAUAACGUAGCGAAAGUUACGCUAAUACCGCAUAUGCCCAGAGGGGGAAAGUGGGGGAGCGCAAGACCUCGCGUUGUCGGAGCGGCCGAUAUCAGAGUAGCUAGUUGGUGGGGUAAAGGCCUAUCAAGGCGACGAUCUGUAGCUGGUCUGAGAGGACGACAAGCAACACUGGGACUGAGACACGGCCCAGACUCCUACGGGAGGCAGCAGUGGGGAAUUUUGGACAAUGGGGGCAACCCUGAUCCAGCCAUGCCGCGUGAGUGAAGAAGGCCUUCGGGUUGUAAAGCUCUUUCGGACAGAAAGAAAUCGCCACUUCUAAUAAGGGUGGUGGAUGACGGUACUGUAAGAAGAAGCACCGGCUAACUACGUGCCAGCCGCCGCGGUAA